UACGUAGGGUGCAAGCGUUAAUCGGAAUUACUGGGCGUAAAGCGUGCGCAGGCGGUCUUGCAAGACAGGGGUGAAAUCCCCGGGCUUAACCUGGGAACUGCACUUGUGACUGCAAGGCUGGAGUACGGCAGAGGGGGAUGGAAUUCCGCGUGUAGCAGUGAAAUGCGUAGAUAUGCGGAGGAACACCGAUGGCGAAGGCAAUCCCCUGGGCCUGUACUGACGCUCAUGCACGAAAGCGUGGGGAGCAAACAGG
Molecule: ribosomal RNA, 253 nt
Filed under: uncultured bacterium
Lineage: Bacteria
Description: partial 16S ribosomal RNA
Rfam family: Bacterial small subunit ribosomal RNA
Source: RNAcentral